GGAAUGGGUGAGAGGGAGAUGGGGAGGAGGGUGGUAAGGGGAGAGGAGAAGAGAGAAGAGCGAUGGAGGAUGACAAGGAGAGAAGUAAAGAAGGGAGAUGAGAGAUGAUGAAGAGGGUAGGAUACAUUAGGGAGAAGAAUGAGAUGAGGCUGCUCGGAAACUACUCACAUAAUGCUAUACAGACAGAGAGAGAAAGAAAGGAGUGGAAGGAGAGAAGAACAGGGAGAGGAAAAGAGAAAUGGGGGAAGGGAAGGAAUGAAAGAGAGAAGAGGCAAAAGAGAUGUGCUAUACAGACGAAGAGAGGAAUAGAAGGAGAAAAGGCAAGAGAAAGAAAAGGAGAGAGAGAGAGAGAGAGAGAGAGAGAGAGAGAGAGAGAGAGAGAGAGAGAGAGAGAGAGUAUGGAAAGGUUAGACAGAGAGGAAGAGAGCAACGGAAUUGGAUACAUAAAAGAGGAGUGAGAGAUGAGAAGCCAAAUUAUAGAAGAAUAUGAUAGUACUGUCCUUAUGCUUACUAAUACGACCCUGUGUGUGUGUGUGUGUGUGUGUGUGUGUGUGUGUGUGUGUGUGCUAGAUUCAGUUGCUUAAUUAAUUAGAAAGAAACAUACAGAGAGAGAGAGAGAGAGAGAGAGAGAGAGAGAGAGAGAGAGAGAGAGAGAGAGAGAGAGAGGAAGGGAGAAAUAAUGAUAGAGUGAAUGAGGGACGGAGGGAGAGAGGGAGAGAAUGGGGGCGUGGGAGGGAAGACUAGGAGAAGAAGGGGAAGGAUUGGAUAAUUGAACAACAAGACAAAGUUAAGACAGAUAAUUUGUUGAUGUAUUCUGAUAAAGUGAUGGAUGGAUGAACAGAGAGAGAGAGAGAGAGAGAGAGAGAGAGAGAGAGAGAGAGAGAGAGAGAGAGAGGAAACGGAUGGCUAGAAUAACCACAUCGUAGAGGUUUUCCCGUGGUUAGGACACACACACACACACACACACACACACACACACACACACACACACACACACCAAACUCAUGACAAAAUGUAAGAGUGAAGAUUAAGCUCAUUACGGUAAAAAUUAAAACUUACACGCGACUUUCAUUUUCAAGCGAGAGGAAAACCAACUCUCUCUCUCUCUCUCUCUCUCUCUCUCUCUCUCUCUCUCUCCUCACGGUAUUGCCUAACCAAGAUUGCAAUGUCAGCUUCAGGCGACCAACGAGAUUUAAUCCAUUGGCAGACUUUAUAAAUAGCAGUCAAGGAUUCUACUGUAGCGAGACUCCUUUGCUAGUGGCUCCACUCACGCGCGCCUCCAAACUUGGGCUUAUCCUGCUGUAUGUGUGUGUGUGUGUGUGUGUGUGUGAGAGAGAGAGAGAGCUCCUCCGCCCGUUAGGUAAAGAGAGAGGAGGGUUUGAAGGGAGAAGGAGUUGGAGAUGAGAAGGGAAAUAUGGAAAAGAAAAAUGGGAGUAAGGGAAUGAGGAGGGAAAAAGGAAGUGGAGGAAGGAAAGAAAGUUUGAAGAAGGGAAAGAAUAAUGUGUGUAUGUGAAAGAGGAGAGAACGGAGACGAGGGGAAAGGAGGUGGAGAUGGGAAAGAAAGUGUAAAAAAGGAAAAGAACAACGCGAGUAUGGGAAAGAGAAAGGGGAAAAGGAGGUGGAGAUUGACAGGAAAUGUGAAUAUACGAAAGAAGGUGUAAAGAAGAGGAAGAAAUAUGUGAGUAUGGGAAAGAGGAGGAGGGGAGUGGGAGGAGAUAUUAGUGUCACAGCGAAAAGGAACGAACAUGAAGAAGGAAAAGUGUUGAGAGGAAGAAAUUAAUCGUACGUAUAAAGGAACGAACAUGAAGAAGGAAAAGUGUUGAGAGGAAGAAAUUAAUUGUAGGUAUAAAGGAACGAACAUGAAGAAGGAAAAGUGUUGAGAGGAAGAAAUUAAUUGUAGGUAUAAAGGAACGAACAUGAAGAAGGAAAAGUGUUGAGAGGAAGAAAUUAAUCGUACGUAUAAAGGAACGAACAUGAAGAAGGAAAAGUGUUGAGAGGAAGAAAUUAAUUGUAGGUAUAAAGGAACGAACAUGAAGAAGGAAAAGUGUUGAGAGGAAGAAAUUAAUUGUAGGUAUAAAGGAACGAACAUGAAGAAGGAAAAGUGUUGAGAGGAAGAAAUUAAUCGUACGUAUAAAGGAACGAACAUGAAGAAGGAAAAGUGUUGAGAGGAAGAAAUUAAUUGUAGGUACACAGAAGAGAUAGCGAAUGAGGGGAUGGAUGAAUAAAUGUCACGGAGACGAAAAAGAAACGUUAGAAAUAGAAUGAGAAAAUUUAGGUCAAAGGAAAAAGAAAAUAAUUUGAAGAGAGAAAUAGAAUGUGGGAAGAGUGGAGUGAGAAAGGGAACGAGAAAACUUAAGGAAAAAGAAAAACAAAAAUAAAGGUAAAAGUAAAAUAUAGGAAGAAAAGAGGGGAGCAAAGUUAAAUGCCUUGAAGGAGGAGACGAACAAACAAACAAACAAACAAAAAGACAAACAAGAAAAAGAAAAAGGAAGCAAAAAAAGAGAGCAAGAAAACAUGACUCACGUAAGAGGAGAAAGAGCUAAAAUAAGAGAGAGAGAGAGAGAGAGAGAGA
Long non-coding RNA from Eriocheir sinensis (Chinese mitten crab), 2572 nucleotides. RefSeq lists it as uncharacterized. The transcript has 4 exons. Lineage: Eukaryota; Metazoa; Arthropoda; Malacostraca; Decapoda; Varunidae. The record is from RefSeq and is a predicted model, not a curated record.